GAUGAACGCUAGCUACAGGCUUAACACAUGCAAGUCGAGGGGCAGCAUGGUCUUAGCUUGCUAAGGCCGAUGGCGACCGGCGCACGGGUGAGUAACACGUAUCCAACCUGCCGUCUACUCUUGGACAGCCUUCUGAAAGGAAGAUUAAUACAAGAUGGCAUCAUGAGUCCGCAUGUUCACAUGAUUAAAGGUAUUCCGGUAGACGAUGGGGAUGCGUUCCAUUAGAUAGUAGGCGGGGUAACGGCCCACCUAGUCUUCGAUGGAUAGGGGUUCUGAGAGGAAGGUCCCCCACAUUGGAACUGAGACACGGUCCAAACUCCUACGGGAGGCAGCAGUGAGGAAUAUUGGUCAAUGGGCGAGAGCCUGAACCAGCCAAGUAGCGUGAAGGAUGACUGCCUUAUGGGUUGUAAACUUCUUUUAUAAAGGAAUAAAGUCGGGUAUGGAUACCCGUUUGCAUGUACUUUAUGAAUAAGGAUCGGCUAACUCCGUGCCAGCAGCCGCGGUAAUACGGAGGAUUCGAGCGUUAUCCGGAUUUAUUGGGUUUAAAGGGAGCGUAGAUGGAUGUUUAAGUCAGUUGUGAAAGUUUGCGGCUCAACCGUAAAAUUGCAGUUGAUACUGGAUAUCUUGAGUGCAGUUGAGGCAGGCGGAAUUCGUGGUGUAGCGGUGAAAUGCUUAGAUAUCACGAAGAACUCCGAUUGCGAAGGCAGCCUGCUAAGCUGCAACUGACAUUGAGGCUCGAAAGUGUGGGUAUCAAACAGGAUUAGAUACCCUGGUAGUCCACACGGUAAACGAUGAAUACUCGCUGUUUGCGAUAUACGGCAAGCGGCCAAGCGAAAGCGUUAAGUAUUCCACCUGGGGAGUACGCCGGCAACGGUGAAACUCAAAGGAAUUGACGGGGGCCCGCACAAGCGGAGGAACAUGUGGUUUAAUUCGAUGAUACGCGAGGAACCUUACCCGGGCUUAAAUUGCAGAUGAAUUACGGUGAAAGCCGUAAGCCGCAAGGCAUCUGUGAAGGUGCUGCAUGGUUGUCGUCAGCUCGUGCCGUGAGGUGUCGGCUUAAGUGCCAUAACGAGCGCAACCCUUGUUGUCAGUUACUAACAGGUUCUGCUGAGGACUCUGACAAGACUGCCAUCGUAAGAUGUGAGGAAGGUGGGGAUGACGUCAAAUCAGCACGGCCCUUACGUCCGGGGCUACACACGUGUUACAAUGGGGGGUACAGAGGGCCGCUACCACGCGAGUGGAUGCCAAUCCCAAAAACCUCUCUCAGUUCGGACUGGAGUCUGCAACCCGACUCCACGAAGCUGGAUUCGCUAGUAAUCGCGCAUCAGCCACGGCGCGGUGAAUACGUUCCCGGGCCUUGUACACACCGCCCGUCAAGCCAUGGGAGCCGGGGGUACCAAAAGUGCGUAACCGCGAGGAG
Molecule: ribosomal RNA, 1420 nt
Filed under: uncultured organism
Description: 16S ribosomal RNA
Rfam family: Bacterial small subunit ribosomal RNA
Source: RNAcentral